CUACCUGUGGCAGUCUGCAAUGGACGAGGAAGGCUAUGAACAAAUAAAAGUACAUCAUUACAAUACCUCUAUCACAAGCUUAAAAGGUCCGCAUUAUGAAAAAACGUCCCCCAUUGGUAAGGCAGCCUACGGGCCUGGAGUACAUGAACUAUUAUUAUCGUAUUCUAGUUCUUGUUUAUAUAUAUAGACCAAAUAUAAAUGAACCAAUUGGAAGAAACUUGCUUAUAAUUUGUACGCAAUAAUAUCAAAUGUCAUUGUAACAGAUGCAAAAACUGAAGUCCUUAUGUUAAACAGACAUCCUUUUUCUCUACCGUUGAAAAGUCAAGGAACGGAUAUUUAACGAAUACACUAGUAGUCACUAAAACUUCAAACAGAAGAUCAUUCGACGCCAAGUUGUUUUAGCAUUCGACUUUAAAGUUCAGAGUCGAAUGCUAAAACAACUUGGCGCCAAAAACACUGAACCACACAUGAUAAAGAGCGGACUCGUGUAGUUAGUUGGUUCGUCAGACUUAACCUAUCUUUUUUCUUGUAUAAUAUUUGUUAUCAGUUCGUGUUUAUAAUUGGAAACCCUAUUUACAACGAAAUUGCACUAACUUACAUUUGCGCAUGCCCGAUGGGAUUUUUCAAACGCACAUUGUGGUGAAAGGGUGGUUUUGAGAUCUCAAAUCGUGGUAUAUCUUAACAAAAACUAUCGCUUUUUAUAGAUUAGAUUUAUGUAUUUUAAUCAUCCUAAAGUGUAAUUAGAUCUUGAUAAAAGUGCUACCUGAACAGUCACUUUUAAUGAAUGUUCAUAAACAAGAUAAAUAUUUACUGCAAAGUUCUUUUCCUAUUGAUCGAUAAUCCGUUCUUGCUGAGAAUGGCAACCAGUUGAGAGAACUGCAGUGUGACUGAAUGUAAAUCUAACGAGAAAACUAUAUUUAAUUCAUGAUUUGAAGCAACGAAAACGUCAUAAGGCCCUGGAAUUUUCUCGCAGUUAAAUCUAUUGUAACUUCUCUAGAACACAAUAUUAAUUGUCAUAUUCAAUGAAUUUAAAUUCUCUUUACCAUUAGUACCAGUACCUGUCUACAGAUUCUAAUAAAGUGUAUACACUUCCUAGACAA
Molecule: long non-coding RNA, 1100 nt
Organism: Exaiptasia diaphana
Lineage: Eukaryota; Metazoa; Cnidaria; Anthozoa; Actiniaria; Aiptasiidae
Exons: 2
Source: RefSeq, a predicted model, not a curated record